GGCAUAGGAGACAAAGGAAGCUCUCCCCUCCCCCGCGCUCUGGCGGCGACGGGGGCAGCCUGACCCGGAGGACCUGGACGAAACAGGGCGGAGAAGAAGCUCCGUCUACAGCCUCCUCAACUCCUGAUUCCACAGAAGGAGGGAACGACGACUCCGAUUUUCGGGAGUUGCACACAGCCCGGGAAUUCUCAGAGGAGGACGAGGAGGAGACCACAUCGCAGGACUGGGGCACCCCCCGGGAGCUGACCUUCUCCUACAUCGCCUUUGAUGGUGUAGUGGGCUCCGGGGGCCGCAGGGAUUCAACUGCCCGCCGCCCCCGCCCCCAGGGCCGCUCAGUCUCGGAACCACGAGACCAGCACCCUCAGCCCAGCCUGGGCGACAGCUUGGAGAGCAUCCCCAGCCUGAGCCAAUCCCCGGAGCCUGGACGCCGGGGUGAUCCUGACACCGCCCCUCCAUCCGAGCGCCCUCUGGAAGACCUGAGGCUUCGCUUGGACCAUCUGGGCUGGGUGGCCCGGGGAACGGGAUCCGGGGAGGACUCUUCCACCAGCAGCUCCACCCCGCUGGAAGACGAAGAACCAGAAGAACCUAA
Molecule: small RNA, 589 nt
Filed under: Pongo abelii (Sumatran orangutan)
Lineage: Eukaryota; Metazoa; Chordata; Mammalia; Primates; Hominidae
Description: processed transcript
Source: RNAcentral